CCUACGGGGUGCAGCAGUGGGGAAUAUUGGACAAUGGGCGAAAGCCUGAUCCAGCCAUGCCGCGUGUGUGAAGAAGGCCUUCGGGUUGUAAAGCACUUUCAGUGGGGAAGAAAGCCUUGGGGCUAAUACCCUCGAGGAAGGACAUCACCCACAGAAGAAGCACCGGCUAACUCCGUGCCAGCAGCCGCGGUAAUACGGAGGGUGCGAGCGUUAAUCGGAAUUACUGGGCGUAAAGCGCGCGUAGGCGGUCUGAUAAGCCGGUUGUGAAAGCCCCGGGCUCAACCUGGGAACGGCAUCCGGAACUGUCAGGCUAGAGUGCAGGAGAGGAAGGUAGAAUUCCCGGUGUAGCGGUGAAAUGCGUAGAGAUCGGGAGGAAUACCAGUGGCGAAGGCGGCCUUCUGGACUGACACUGACGCUGAGGUGCGAAAGCGUGGGUAGCAAACAGGAUUAGAUACCCUAGUAGUC
This 465-nucleotide ribosomal RNA is filed under the name Vreelandella stevensii. Its description in RNAcentral is "partial 16S ribosomal RNA". It matches the Rfam family "Bacterial small subunit ribosomal RNA", at positions 338 to 795 of the family's 1533-position model. Lineage: Bacteria; Pseudomonadati; Pseudomonadota; Gammaproteobacteria; Oceanospirillales; Halomonadaceae. The record is from RNAcentral.